CCUACGGGUGGCAGCAGUGGGGAAUAUUGCACAAUGGGGGAAACCCUGAUGUAGCGACGCCGCGUGAGCGAUGAAGGAUUUCGGUAUGGAAAGCUCUAUCUGCAGGGAAGAAGAUUACGGUACCUGACUAAGAAGCCCCGGCUAACUACGUUCCAGCAGCCGCGGUAAUACGUAGGGGGCAAGCGUUAUCCGGAUUUACUGGGUGUAAAGGGGGCGUAGAGGGCGAUGCAAGCCAGAUGUGAAAGUCCGCGGCUCAACCCCGGGACUGCAUUUGGAACUGUGUGGCUGGAGUGUAGGAGAGGCAGGCGGAAGUCCUAGUGUAGCGGUGAAAUGCGUAGAUAUUAGGAGGAACACCAGUGGCGAAGGCGGCCUACUAGACGAUGACUGACGUUGAGGCUCGAAAGCGUGGGGAGCAAACAGGAUUAGAUACCCUUGUAGUC
RNAcentral lists this ribosomal RNA (440 nucleotides) under uncultured bacterium. Its description in RNAcentral is "partial 16S ribosomal RNA". It matches the Rfam family "Bacterial small subunit ribosomal RNA", at positions 338 to 795 of the family's 1533-position model. The record is from RNAcentral.